UCCUUGGAAAAUCUUAUCUGAUUCAGGAUCAAUUUAUCGGUUACACUCCCCUAUCACCAGUGAUUCUUUGUGAACUGACAUUCUGAAAAAGGUAUACUGUUGACUAUCAAUUUGCAUGAUUAGUUACAGAUGUCGACUCGGACUACUGCAAAAGACAAUAAUUCAGUUCACUGAUUUAGAUUGAAUAGUGGUUCGGUUAAUCCCCUCUUCCCCAAACAAGGCAAGAACAUUAAAGAUAAAGGGAAACUAUAAACAAAAGAAAUUAUCAACAAAAAUAGAUUUACAGACGUCAACAAAGCCUAAAUGGUCAGACAUCUUGGUUUUCAUGAUCAUCAUUCAACAGGUCAAUACUGAACAGCAAACUUAAAGUUGAUAUUUUUCUAUAUAGUGUGACUUUUUUAUUAAUUUGAAAUGGAAUGUGUUUUUUUUUCCUACAUAAGAAAGAGGAAAUUUCAACAUAAUGACUAUAAACAAAAAGGAGUCAUAUCAUCAUGAUCAUAGAUGCUCAAGAACUUAAUCAUGUAAAUACAACAACGUAAUUAUCAAUUGAAAGAAGGGAGGAAUGAAAAAAUAUAUCAGUAUUUUGUUGUCCAAAUGAACUUGCUUUGUCCACUCAUUUAAAUCGCUCCAUCCAAUAAAGAUGUACCGAGGAAGAUUUU
Molecule: long non-coding RNA, 659 nt
Organism: Mytilus californianus (California mussel)
Lineage: Eukaryota; Metazoa; Mollusca; Bivalvia; Mytilida; Mytilidae
Exons: 3
Source: RefSeq, a predicted model, not a curated record